Molecule: ribosomal RNA, 497 nt
Filed under: uncultured bacterium
Lineage: Bacteria
Description: partial 16S ribosomal RNA
Rfam family: Bacterial small subunit ribosomal RNA
Source: RNAcentral
GAUGAACGCUGGCGGCGUGCCUAAUACAUGCAAGUCGAGCGAACAGACGAGGAGAUUGUGCCCCUGACGUUAGCGGCGGACGGGCGAGUAAGACGUGGAUAACCUACCUAUAAGACUUGGAUAACUUCGUGAAACCGCAUCCAAUACCGGCUAAUAUAAUGAACGGCAUGAAGCAAUAGUUAAAGACGGUUUGCGCGACACUAAGAGAUGGUGCCGCGCCGGAUUAGCUAGUUGGUAAGGUAACGGCUUACCAAGGCGACGAUGCGUAGCCGACCUGAGAGGGUGAUCAGCCACACUGGAACUGAGACACGGUCCAGACUCCUACGGGAGGCAGCAGUGGGGAAUCUUCCGCAAUGGGCGAAAGCCUGACGGAGCAACGCCGCGUGAGUGAUGAAGGUCUUCGGGUCGUAAAACUCUGUUAUUAGGGAAGAAAAAAUGUGUAAGAAACUAUGCACGUCUUGACGGUACCUAAUCAGAAAGCCACGGCUAACUACGUG